Molecule: long non-coding RNA, 379 nt
Organism: Oryctolagus cuniculus (rabbit)
Lineage: Eukaryota; Metazoa; Chordata; Mammalia; Lagomorpha; Leporidae
Source: RefSeq, a predicted model, not a curated record
AGGAUGAGUUAUUGCUGCCUGGCCUCAGCUGGACUUGGUCUCCCGGGAAUAUUCAGGAAUCCCGGAAAAAAGAGGAUACAGAGACCGGAGGUUAAUGGAAUCUGUUUGCAAGAAAGUAAGACCUUGCUGAGGCUGAAAUCUUCCAUCACCAAAAAAAAGGAGAUUAAAGGGACAAAAAUUAACCCCCCAAGAUUAUCAAAAGAACUGGAACAGUCUUCACCUGGCAAAAGGGAGACAAGAAAUGGGUGCAUCUGGAAACCGUCAAUAAAGCCCUUUGGAAAUGGCCCAGUGAGAGGGAUGCUGGACAACUGGGUGAGUGAAACUGUGGGGCUGCAGAGGGGAGAAUGAACCUCUGCUCAGAACCCAGGGAACUGGCAAA